Molecule: ribosomal RNA, 253 nt
Filed under: uncultured bacterium
Lineage: Bacteria
Description: partial 16S ribosomal RNA
Rfam family: Bacterial small subunit ribosomal RNA
Source: RNAcentral
UACGGAGGGCGCAAGCGUUGUUCGGAAUCAUUGGGCGUAAAGCGCGUGUAGGCGGCUUGGUAAGUCGAGUGUGAAAUCCCGGGGCUCAACCCCGGAAGGUCGCUCGAAACUGCCUCGCUCGAGUCCCGGAGAGGAAGGCGGAAUUCCCGGUGUAGAGGUGAAAUUCGUAGAUAUCGGGAGGAACACCAGCGGCGAAGGCGGCCUUCUGGACGGUGACUGACGCUGAGACGCGAAAGCGUGGGGAGCAAACAGG